This is a long non-coding RNA of Monodelphis domestica (gray short-tailed opossum), 720 nucleotides long. RefSeq lists it as uncharacterized. The record is from RefSeq and is a predicted model, not a curated record. NCBI's taxonomy places the organism in Eukaryota, Metazoa, Chordata, Mammalia, Didelphimorphia, Didelphidae.
CAGGCCCUGGGAGGCCCCCAGCAUGUCUGCCUGCAUGACAUCACAGGGGGUUCAAAAUAAGGAGCAAAAACACAGAACAUUUCAAAGGGCCAGUAGCCAGGUUCUGCUUCCUCCAACGUUAAAGACUCUCCUUCCUAUGUACCGAAGCCCGAGACAAGUUUUAAAAUAGUCGUUCAAUGGAGAGCAGGCCUCGAGUGUUCGCCAGGCCUGGCACAGAAGGAUGUGCCCCCUGAGGGAGAGUUCAAGAAUUAAAACUCAUCACACCUCUGAGCUCAGGGGACGUGAAAGGGAAGGUGAAGGAGCCUGCUGAGGCAUCUGGUCCAACAUCAGCACCUGACUGAGAAAAUCUCCAAUUCCAUCUCUGAGGGGUGACAAUCGUUUCCAGCCUCUGCUGGCACACCUUCCCUGGCAGCCUGGUAAGAGGGAGAGCUCUGCAGCUCCUCUCCUAAAGGCAGGGCUGAGGCUCCAGCACUCUUCUGAGAGUCAGUUCAGGUUCCGCCACAUUUCUGGCCAUAAGAGAACCCCACCUCCAUCUCCUACAGUGCUAUCCAGUCCUAAACCUUACACACUCCCUUCCUCUGGUUUUCUUGCCAUUGACUAGAACAAAUGCCCAGGAUCCUGCAGGGAUCUUGCACUUAGGAGCUGAGUUUAGUAUGGACAUGGCCCUGUUUGUUACUUAAAACACACAGGUUAAAUAUAUAUGUCGAUAACUUUAAUGAA